UGAACCUGCGAAAGGAUCAUUA
RNAcentral lists this ribosomal RNA (22 nucleotides) under Penicillium chrysogenum. RNAcentral's name for it is "partial 18S ribosomal RNA". The record is from RNAcentral. RNAcentral also lists the same sequence under 1 other name. Lineage: Eukaryota; Fungi; Ascomycota; Eurotiomycetes; Eurotiales; Aspergillaceae.